UGAGGGUUUUGUUCCAAAUUCCGCCAUCUACUUCCUGAGGGAGGCCGCUGCUCCCCUUUCCUAAGAGGGAAAAUGACCUUUGUGCACCAACCGGUGGCCUGCACACUCUGAGUGCUCCAUAUACUUGGUGGUGGGAUGCCAAGGAUCCAGCCCAGGGUGGAAAUCUCCACCAGCACUGGAGUGCACCUUCUGUUCCAGCCACCGCUCCAGCUGCUAGGUGCAUGGACUGAUUUCACCCCACAACAGUCCUGUGAGGCAGGUUGCAUGGAGCUAAGAGACACUGCCUUUUAUACAACAUCUUCCGCUGGGAAUCGGCCCGGCCCAGCACAAAAUUAGCUGGCGUCUUACGGCUCCUGGAUUAUGCAGGCAGAGAUUUUGAUUGAAUCUGGCAACCAGA
Long non-coding RNA from Leopardus geoffroyi (Geoffroy's cat), 397 nucleotides. RefSeq lists it as uncharacterized. The record is from RefSeq and is a predicted model, not a curated record. NCBI's taxonomy places the organism in Eukaryota, Metazoa, Chordata, Mammalia, Carnivora, Felidae. The transcript is spliced from 3 exons.